UUGCUUUGGCAGCACAUAUACUAAAAUUGGAAUGAUACAGAGAAGAUUAGCAUGGGCCCUGCACAAGGAUGACACACAAAUCCGUGAAGCGUUCCGUAUUUUA
Molecule: small nuclear RNA, 103 nt
Organism: Pteronotus mesoamericanus
Lineage: Eukaryota; Metazoa; Chordata; Mammalia; Chiroptera; Mormoopidae
Source: RefSeq, a predicted model, not a curated record